UGGAGCGCAUGUCGCCGGAGGAGCUCCUCGGGAUGUCCAAGCCCGACUACCAGUGUUGGUGCCUCGACGAUGACCGGCAAUAAUACUGUCGAGAGCCGGAAUUCGAAUCUUGGUUGGCGGUUUAAUUUACUUGGUCGUGAUGAUUCAAAAUCCACGUACCUCGGAUGGAUAGCGGCCGUACCUAGCGACGACGUGGUGGUCGAAUAAAUCACAGUUUUGUUUCGUUGGUUAGGACCGAUUUUACUGCCGGGUGACCUAGGCUGAACCAGGCGCGUUGGGGUCGUCUGGAGCGCCGGGGUAAAUGUUUUUGGCGGAACCUGUCUGAGUCAGCGACUAGACGGGUUCGUCGUUCUCAUUGUCUCGUUUUUCAGCGGGGAAUCAAUGCGAAGGUUUUUGUCGAUCAUCCUAUAUUGAUUCCUCACGGACGACGUAGUGAAGGCGUCGACACGCGUCCUGCCCCCUCCCGCCACACGUACACACGGCUGUCGUCCGCUCGCUGCCCACCCGCGGCUAUAUAAGUCAUCUCUCCCUCAUCAGUGGCCACACACCUCUUGCCCCCCUUCUCCCUCUCUCGCCGUCGACGCCCCUCUCCCCCUUUCGUCGUACCACCACCAUGGCCAAGCGCUAACCCGGUGGCGGAGCGGCGACAAAUGGCUUCAGCCGCCGCCACCUCUAUGAGGUGGACUACCCGGUGCCAAUGAACAUGCGGGUGUCGGGCUCGUGAAGGCUGAGCGCCCGUGGAGUUCCGGUGUCACCACCGCCAUGUGGAGCUGACCGGCGCGCGGAGAUCGCACGCAUCCGGUCAUCGCUGUCGGAGAGCUCGCGGAACCAGCCGAGGUAUUGCCCCCGACAGCAACACGUUGUGGAUGACGUACUUCGAACGCCGCCACACCGAACCACUCGCCGCCACCAACGGUGCCGAAUCCCGCGGCCGCUUCAACACCGAGGGGCGACACCUUAUGGUGGGGCGUCCCUGGCCGCACACUGGACGCCGUCCUCGAGCACAUCGAGGACGGCAGCUCACCGCGGUUGGAGUACCCGGUGCCCCCCUCCUUCUCUUGCCGCUGCGACAGCUCAUGGACGCCGAGGCGCAUGGAGACGGCAUCCUCCUCCUCGUCCGGCUCCCGCUCCCGCACCUCCGGGUCGCCGGCACUCCUCCCCAUCAAGCCGGAGCCACGGGAGAUGCCGCUCGGGCGGCGCACGCAUAGCGGCGACCUCGUCAUUAACUAGGCCUCCUUCUCCCGCCUCGUCAAGCCGAAGGCCGAGCCAAGCGCUCCUCCCAGUGAAGAAGUAGCACGAGGCCAGGGCCGCCGACCAGGAGACUGCGCUCAAAUGGACGCAGGACGGCUAUGUUCGGGAGGAGAUGGAGCACCAGCGACGCGCCCUCGAAAAAGCGUCUAGGGCGGCCUUGGGGGCGGCAAGGAACCCGUGCCCCCCCCCCGACACACACACACCGAUUUUGUCGCUGGCGCGCCCCCAAGCGGCGCUAUUUCAUCCCCUGGGGUGCCAAAAGACUGGAGACGCUCUAAGUUACCUGAAUUUGCUUUCAACAAAAAAGUUACCUGAAUUUCAAAGAUGUGGGUCAUUUGAUUUUGUUUCAAAGGAGUCAAUUGCAAAAAACCACCAUACCUGUGGCUAGGUUUGCAAGAAACUACCAACUCGUUAAUCCGUUGCAGAAAACACUAAAAACUCUUAAGUCGUUGCGAAAAGCACUAAUCAGCCGUUUAGGCUCGUCUGGCCCCUUUUCUGACAGGUGGGCCCGGAAAACGCCGACGUGGCAUAGCGGCUGGACAGACGACGUCAUUUGGAUUAAUUGCAAGAAACCACUACAUUUGCGGCUAGGUUUGUAGAAAACAACCAACUCGUUAAUCGGUUGCAAAAAAACCGCGUUAGCAGUAAAGUCCUCGAGGGAACAGCCGCCGCAGUCCGGGCAGGCCAUGUCGGCCCUGUUGGGGAACGUCGCAUGGGAAACAAAAAAUUUCCUACGCGCACGAAGACCUAUCAUGGUGAUGUCCAUCUACGAGAGGGAAUAUUCGAUCUACGUACCCUUGUAGAUCGCACAGCAAAAGCGUUCAGAAAUGCGGUUGAUGUAGUGGAACGUCCUCACGUCCCUCGAUCCGCCCCGCGAACCGUCCCGCGAUCCGUCCCACGAUCUAGUGCUGAACGGACGGCAUCUCCGCGUUCAACACACGUACAGCUCGACGAUGAUCUCGGCCUUCCUGAUCCAGCAAGAGAGACGGAGAGGUAGAUGAGUUCUCCGGCAGCGUGACGGUGCUCCGGAGGUUGGUGGUGAUCUAAUCUCAGCACGGCUCCGCCCGAACUCCGCAGAAACGCGAUCUAGAGGUAAAACCGUGGAGAUAUGUGGUCGGGCUGCCGUGGCAAAGUUGUCUCAAAUCAGCCCUAAAACCUCUGUAUAUAUAGGUGGGAGAGGGGGGGGUCCUUGCCUUGGGGCUCAAGGAGCCCCAAGGGGGUCGGCCGAGCCAAGGGGGGGAGUCCUCCCCUUCCAAACCGAAUCCAACUAGGUUUGGAAGGAGGAGUCCUUCCCCUUUUUCCCACCUCCUCUUUUUUUUUCUUUUUUCUUUGAUUUUCUUCCUAUGGCGCAUAGGGCCUUCUUGGGCUGUCCCACCAGCCCACUAAGGGCUGGUGUGCCACCCCCAAGGCCUAUGGGCUUCCCCGGGGUGGGUUGGCCCCCCCCCCCGGUGAACACCCGGAACCCAUUCGUCAUUCCCGAUACAUUUCCGGUAACUCCGAAAACCUUCCGGUAAUCAAAUGAGGUCAUCCUAUAUAUCAAUCUUCAUUUCCGGACCAUUCCGGAAACCCUCGUGACGUCCGUGAUCUCAUCCGGGACUCCGAACAACAUUCGGUAACCAACCAUAUAACUCAAAUACGCAUAAAACAACAUCGAACCUUAAGUGUGCAGACCCUGCGGGUUCGAGAACUAUGCAGACAUGACCCGAGUGACUCCUCGGUCAAUAUCCAAUAGCGGGACCUGGAUGCCCAUAUUGGAUCCCACAUAUUCUACGAAGAUCUUAUCGUUUGAACCUCAGUGCCAAGGAUUCAUAUAAUCCCGUAUGUCAUUCCCUUUGUCCUUCGGUAUGUUACUUGCCCGAGAUUCGAUCGUCAGUAUCCGCAUACCUAUUUCAACCUCGUUUACCGGCAAGUCUCUUUACUCGUUCCGUAAUACAAGAUCCCGCAACUUACACUAAGUCACAUUGCUUGCAAGGCUUGUGUGUGAUGUUGUAUUACCGAGUGGGCCCCGAGAUACCUCGCCGUCACACGGAGUGACAAAUCCCAGUCUCGAUCCAUACUAACUCAACGAACACCUUCGGAGAUACCUGUAGAGCAUCUUUAUAGUCACCCAGUUACGUUGCGACGUUUGAUACACACAAAGCAUUCCUCCGGUGUCAGUGAGUUAUAUGAUCUCAUGGUCAUAGGAACAAAUACUUGACACGCAGAAAACAGUAGCAACAAAAUGACACGAUCAACAUGCUACGUCUAUUAGUUUGGGUCUAGUCCAUCACGUGAUUCUCCUAAUGACGUGAUCCAGUUAUCAAGCAACAACACCUUGUUCAUAAUCAGAAGACCCUGACUAUCUUUGAUCAACUGGCUAGCCAACUAGAGGCUUGCUAGGGACAGUGUUUUGUCUAUGUAUCCACACAUGUAUAUAAGUCUUUAUUCAAUACAAUUAUAGCAUGGAUAAUAAACGAUUAUCUUGAUACAGGAAUUAUAAUAAUAACUAUAUUUAUUAUUGCCUCUAGGGCAUAAUUCCAACAGUCUCCCACUUGCACUAGAGUCAAUAAUCUAGCCCUCACAUCAUCAUGCGAAUUACAUUGUAAUAAAUCUAACACCCAUACAGUUCUGGUGUUGAUCAUGCUUUGCCCGUGGAAGAGGUUUAGUGAGCGGGUCUACUACAUUUGGAUCCGUGUGCACUUUGCAUAUAUUUACGUCCUCCCCUUCGACGUAGUCGCGGAUGAGGUUGAAGCGUCGUUUGAUGUGUCUGGUCUUCUUGUGAAACCGUGGUUCCUUUGCUAAGGCAAUGGCACCCGUGUUGUCACAGAACAAGGUUAUUGGAUUCAGUGCGCUUGGCACCACUCCAAGAUCCGUCAUGAACUGCUUCAUCCAGACACCCUCCUUAGCCGCCUCCGAGGCAGCCAUAUACUCCGCUUCACAUGUAGAAUCUGCUACGACGCUUUGCUUGGAACUGCACCAGCUUACCGCACCCACAUUAAGAAUAAAUACGUAUCCGGUCUGUGACUUAGAGUCGUCCGGAUCUGUGUCAAAGCUUGCAUCGACGUAACCCUUUACGGCGAGCUCUUCGUCACCUCCAUACACGAGAAACAUCUCCUUAGUCCUUUUCAGGUACUUCAGGAUAUUCUUGACCGCCGUCCAGUGAUCCACUCCUGGAUUACUCUAGAACCUGCCUGCCAUACUUAUGGCCAGGCUAACGUCCGGUCUAGUGCACAACAUUGCAUACAUGAUAGAACCUAUGGCUGAAGCAAAGGGGACGGUGCUCAUAUGCUCUCUAUCCUCAUCAGUUGCUGGGCACUGAGUCUUACUCAAUCUCGUACCUUGUAAAACUGGCAAGCACCCUUUCUUGGACUGUUCCAUUUUGAACCUCUUCAAAACUUUAUCAAGGUAUGUGCUUUGUGAAAGUCCUAUCAGGCGUUUUGAUCUAUCACUGUAGAUCUUAAUGCCUAGAAUGUAAGCAACUUCUCCUAGGUCCUUCAUAGAGAAACUUUUAUUCAAGUACUCCUUUAUGCUCUCCAAAAACUCUACGUUGUUUCCAAUCAGCAAUAUGUCAUCCACAUAUAAUAUUAGAAACGCCACAGAGCUCCCACUCACUUUCUUGUAAAUACAAGAUUCUCCAACCACUUGUAUAAACCCAAAUGCUUUGAUCACCUCAUCAAAGCGUUUGUUCCAACUCCGAGAUGCUUGCACCAGUCCAUAAAUGGAUCGCUGGAGCUUGCACACCUUGUUAGCAUUCUUAGGAUCGAAAAAACCUUCGGGUUGCAUCAUAUACAACUCUUCCUUAAGGAAACCGUUAAGGAACGCCGUUUUGACAUCCAUCUGCCAGAUUUCAUAAUCGAAAAAUGCAGCUAUUGCUAACAUGAUUCUGAUGGACUUAAGCAUCGCUACGGGUGAGAAUGUCUCAUCGUAGUCAACUUCUUGAACUUGUGAAAAACCCUUUGCCACAAGUCGAGCUUUAUAAACGGUCACAUUGCCGUCAGCGUCCGUCUUCUUCUUAAAGAUCCAUUUGUUCUGAAUAGCCUUGUGGCCCUCAGGUAGUACUUCCAAAGUCCACACUUUGUUCUCAUACAUGGAUCCUAUCUCGGACUUCAUGGCCUCUAGCCAUUUGUUGGAAUCUGGGCCCACCAUUGCUUCUUCAUAAUUUGCAGGUUCAUUGUUGUCUAACAACAUGAUUGACAAAACGGGAUUACCGUACCACUCUGGAGCAGCGCGUGGUCUCGUCGACCUGCGUGGUUCAACAGGAACUUGAACCGGAGUUUCAUGAUCAUCAUCAUUAACUUCCUCCUCAACCGGCGUCGCAACGACAGAGGUUUCCCCUUGCCCUGCGCCACCAUCUAGAGGUUCGACAACCUCAUCAAGUUCUAUCUUCCUCCCACUCAAUUCUCUCGAGAGAAACUCCUUCUCGAGAAAAGCUCCGUUUUUAGCAACAAACACUUUGCCCUCGGAUUUGAGAUAGAAGGUGUACCCAACUGUCUCUUUUGGGUAACCUAUGAAGAUGCACUUUUCCGCUUUGGGUUCCAGCUUUUCAGGCUGAAGCUUUUUGACAUAAGCAUCACAUCCCCAAACUUUAAGAAACGACAACUUUGGCCUUUUGCCAUACCACAGUUCGUAUGGUGUCGUCUCAACGGAUUUUGAUGGUGCCCCAUUUAAAGUGAAUGCAGCUGUGUCUAAUGCAUAACCCCAAAACGAUAACGGCAAAUCGGUAAGAGACAUCAUAGAUCGCACCAUCUCUAAUAAAGUACGAUUACGACGUUCGGACACACCAUUACACUGUGGUGUUCCAGGCGGUGUCAACUAUGAAACAAUUCCACAUUGUCUUAAGUGAGCACCAAACUCGAAACUCAGAUAUUCACCCCCACGAUCAGACCGUAGGAACUUGAUCUUCUUUUUACGAUGAUUUUCAACUUCACUUUGAAAUUGCUUGAACUUUUCAAAUGUUUCAGACUUGUGCUUCGUUAAGUAGACAUAACCAUAUCUACUCAAAUCGUCAGUGAAGGUGAGAAAAUAACGAUAUCCGCCGCGUGCCUCUACGCUCAUCGGACCGCACACAUCGGUAUGUAUGAUUUCCAACAAGUCACCGGCACGCUCCAUUGUUCCGGAGAACGGAGUUUUAGUCAUCUUGCCCAUGAGGCAUGGUCCGCACGUGUCAAGUGAAUCAAAGUCAAGUGACUCCAAAAGUCCAUCGGCAUGGAGUUUCUUCAUGCGUUUUACACCAAUAUGACCUAAGCGACAGUGCCACAAAAAUAUGGCGCUAUCAUUGUUAACUCUAACUCUUUUGGUCUCAAUCUUAUGUAUAUGUGUAUCACUAUCAAGAUUCAAUAUGAACAAUCCUCUCACAUUGGGUGCAUGACCAUAAAAGAUGUUACUCAUAGAAAUAGAACAACCAUUAUUCUCUGACUUAAAAGAGUAUCCGUCUCGCAAUAAACAAGAUCCAGAUAUAAUGUUCAUGCUCAACGCAGGCACUAAAUAACAAUUAUUCAAGUUCAUAACUAAUCCUGAUGUAACUGAAGUGAAACUGUGCCGACGGCGAUUGCAUCAACCUUGGAACCAUUUCCUACGCGCAUCGUCACUUCAUCUUUCGCCUUUAGCCUUCGUCUAUUCCGCAGUUUCUGUUUCGAGUUGCAAAUAUGAGCAACAGAACCGAUAUCGAAUACCCAAGCACUACUAUGAGAGCCGGUUAAGUACACAUCAAUAACAUGUAUAUCAAAUAUACCUGAUUUUUCUUUGGCCGCCUUCUUAUCAGCCAGAUACUUGGGGCAGUUGCGCUUCCAGUGACCCAUACCCUUGCAAUAGUAGCACUCUGUUUCAGGCUUAGGUCCAGCUUUGGGUUUCUUCGUCGGAUUGGCAACAGGCUUGCCGCUCUUCUUUGAAUUACCCUUCUUGCAUUUGCCGUUUCUCUUGAAACUAGUGGUCGUAUUCACCAUCAACACUUGAUGCUCUUUACGGAGUUCAGACUCUGUGACUUUCAGCAUCGCAAACAACUCGCCGGGUGACUUGUUCAUCCCUUGCAUGUUGUAGUUCAACACAAAGCCCUUAUAGCUUGGCGGCAGUGAUUGAAGGAUUCUGUCAGUGAUAGCCUCUUGCGGGAGUUCAAUCCCCAGCUCAGCUAGACGGUUUGAGUACCCAGACAUUUUGAGCACAUGUUCACUGACAGACGAAUUCUCCUCCAUCUUGCAAGCAUAGAAUUUAUCGGAGGUCUCAUACCUCUCGAUCCGGGCAUUCUUCUGAAAGAUAAACUUCAACUCCUGGAACAUCUCAUAUGCUCCAUGACGCUCAAAGCGACGUUGAAGUCCUGGUUCUAAGCCAUACAAGACUGCACAUUGAACUACUGAGUAGUCCUCCUUACGUGUUAACCAAGCGUUCUUAACAUCCUGAUCAGCCGUAGCGGGUGGUUCAUCUCCUAGCGCAGCAUUAAGGACAUAAUCCUUCUUCCCAGCUUGUAAGAUUAGCUUAAGAUUACGAGCCCAGUCUACAAAGUUGCUUCCAUCAUCUUUCAACUUAGCUUUCUCUAGGAAUGUGUUAAAAUUCAGGGUGACUGUCGCAUGAGCCAUGAUCUACAACACAAAUAUAUUCAAAGUGGACUUAGACUAUGUUCAAGAUAAUUAGAGUUUAACUUAAUCAAUUCACUUGCUAAACUCCCACUCAAAAAGUACAUCUCUCUAGUCAUUUGAGUGGUUCAUGACCCACUUACACUAGCUCAAGUCCGAUCAUCACGUGAGUUGAGUAUAGUUUCAGUGGUAAGCAUCCGUAUGCUAAUCAUAUCAUCUAUAUGAUUCAUGAUCGACCUUUCGGUCUCAUGUGUUCCGAGGCCAUGUCUGCACAUGCUAGGCUCGUCAAGCUUAACCCGAGUGUUCCGCGUGUGCAACUGUUUUGCACCCGUUGUAUGUGAACGUUGAGUCUAUCACACCCGAUCAUCACGUGGUGUCUCGAAACGACGAACUGUAGCAACGGUGCACAGUCGGGGAGAACACAAUUUCGUCUUGAAAUUUUAGUGAGAGAUCACCUCAUAAUGCUACCGUCGUUCUAAGCAAAAUAAGGUGCAUAAAAGGAUUAACAUCACAUGCAAUUCAUAAGUGACAUGAUAUGGCCAUCAUCACGUGCUCCUUGAUCUCCAUCACCAAAGCACCGACACGAUCUUCUUGUCACCGGCGCCACACCAUGAUCUCCAUCAACGUGUCGCCAUCGGGGUUGUCGUGCUACUCAUGCUAUUACUACUAAAGCUACAUCCUAGCAAAAUAGUAAACGCAUCUGCAAGCACAAACGUUAGUUUAAAGACAACCCUAUGGCUCCUGCCGGUUGCCGUACCAUCGACGUGCAAGUCGAUAUUAUCUAUUACAACAUGAUCAUCUCAUACAUCCAAUAUAUCGCAUCAUAUCGUUGGCCAUAUCACAUCACAAGCAUACCCUGCAAAAACAAGUUAGACGUCCUCUAAUUUUGUUGUUGCAUGUUUUACGUGGUGACCAUGGGUAUCUAGUAGGAUCGCAUCUUACUUACGCAAACACCACAACGGAGAUAUAUGAAUUGCUAUUUAACCUUAUACAAGGACCUCCUCGGUCAAAUCCGAUUCAACUAAAGUUGGAGAAACUGACACUUACCGGUCAUCUUUGAGCAACGGGGUUACUCGUAGUGAUGAAACCAGUCUCUCGUAAGCGUACGAGUAAUGUUGGUCCAAGCCGCUUCAAUCCAACAAAACAGCGGAAUCAAAAAAGACUAAGGAGGGCAGCAAAACGCACAUCACCGCCCACAAAAACUUUUGUGUUCUACUCGAGAAGACAUCUACGCAUGAACCUAGCUCAUGAUGCCACUGUUGGGGAACGUCGCAUUGGAAACAAAAAAUUUCCUACGCGCAUGAAGACCUAUCAUGGUGAUGUCCAUCUACGAGAGGGGAUAUUCGAUCUACGUACCCUUGUAGAUCGCACAGCAGAAGCGUUAAGAAACGCGGUUGAUGUAGUGGAACAUCCUCACGUCCCUCGAUCCGCUCCGCGAACCGUCCCGCGAUCCGUCCCAUGAUCCAGUGCCGAACGGACGUCACCUCCGCGUUCAGCACACGUACAGCUCGACGAUGAUCUCGGCCUUCUUGAUCCAGCAAGAGAGACGGAGAGGUAGAUGAGUUAUCCGGCAGCGUGACGGCGCUCCGGAGGUUGGUGGUGAUCUAAUCUCAGCAGGGCUCCGCCCGAGCUCCGCAGAAACGCGAUCUAGAGGUAAAACCGUGGAGAUAUGUGGUCGGGCUGCCGUGGCAAAGUUGUCUCAAAUCAGCCCUAAAACCUCCGUAUAUAUAGGUGGGAGAGGGGGGCCUUGCCUUGGGGCUCAACGAGCCCCAAGGGGGUUGGCCGAGCCAAGGGGGGGAGUCCUCCCCUUCCAAACCGAAUCCAACUAGGUUUGGAAGGAGGAGUCCUUCCCCUUUUUCCCACCUCCUCUUUUUUUUCUCUUUGAUUUUCUUCCUAUGGCGCAUAGGGCCUUCUUGGGCUGUCCCACCAGCCCACUAAGGGCUGGUGCGCCACCCCCAAGGCCUAUGGGCUUCCCCGGGGUGGGUUGCCCCCCCCCCCGGUGAACACCCGGAACCCAUUCGUCAUUCUCGGUACAUUCCCGGUAACUCCGAAAACCUUCCGGUAAUCAAAUGAGGUCAUCCUACAUAUCAAUCUUCGUUUCCGGACCAUUCCGGAAACCCUCGUGACGUCCGUGAUCUCAUCCGGGACUCCGAACAACAUUUGUAACCGACCAUAUAACUCAAAUACGCAUAAAACAACAUCGAACCUUAAGUGUGCAGACCCUGCGGGUUCGAGAACUAUGCAGACAUGACCCGAGUGACUCCUCGGUCAAUAUCCAAUAGCGGGACCUGGAUGCCCAUAUUGGAUCCCACAUAUUCUACGAAGAUCUUAUCGUUUGAACCUCAGUGCCAAGGAUUCAUAUAAUCCCGUAUGUCAUUCCCUUUGUCCUUCGGUAUGUUACUUGCCCGAGAUUCGAUCGUCAGUAUCCGCAUACCUAUUUCAACCUCGUUUACCGGCAAGUCUCUUUACUCGUUCCGUAAUACAAGAUCCCGCAACUUACACUAAGUCACAUUGCUUGCAAGGCUUGUGUGUGAUGUUGUAUUACCGAGUGGGCCCCGAGAUACCUCACCGUCACACGGAGUGACAAAUCCCAGUCUUGAUCCAUACUAACUCAACGAACACCUUCGGAGAUACUUGUAGAGCAUCUUUAUAGUCACCCAGUUACGUUGCGACGUUUGAUACACACAAAGUAUUCCUCCGGUGUCAGUGAGUUAUAUGAUCUCAUGGUCAUAGGAACAAAUACUUGACACGCAGAAAACAGUAGCAACAAAAUGACACGAUCAACAUGCUACGUCUAUUAGUUUGGGUCUAGUCCAUCACGUGAUUCUCCUAAUGACGUGAUCCAGUUAUCAAGCAACAACACCUUGUUCAUAAUUAGAAGACCCUGACUAUCUUUGAUCAACUGGCUAGCCAACUAGAGGCUUGCUAGGGACAGUGUUUUGUCUAUGUAUCCACACAUGUAUAUAAGUCUUUAUUCAAUACAAUUAUAGCAUGGAUAAUAAACGAUUAUCUUGAUACAGGAAUUAUAAUAAUAACUAUAUUUAUUAUUGCCUCUAGGGCAUAAUUCCAACAGGCCCGUCUCGCGUUGACGCGGUCGUGGUUGCAUCACGUCUCCUCUAUGGAUCCCGUUGCUACUGAGCUCAACGACGGAUUUGAGUCGGUGGGAUGGCGGUGACGGGUGCCAGUGGGUAUGGCGUGGUCGGGUGCAAGGGCGACAGUUGCAUCGGGAGCAGGGGACCGGGAGCAUGGGUGAUCUUUUUUUAUUUUUAGAUCCAGGGAUGUGUGUGUGUGUGUGUAUAUUUUUGCUAAGUCACCUACUUACAAUCUGACCCCACUUGUACAAAAAGUGAUUAACCUCGCUAAAUCAUCCUAUUAGUGCUUUUUGCAACAAGUUUACUACUAGGAUGAUGUUUUUUUGUAACGGAUUAAAAAGUUGAUAGUUUUCUGCAAACCUAACCACAAAUAUGCUAGUUUCUUGCAAUUAAAACGGGGACGUUUGUCCACCCAGCAUGCCACGUUGGCGUUUUACGACCCCACUUGUCGGAAAAAAGGUCAAACGAGCCUAAACGGCCGAUCAGUGUUUUUUGCAACUACUUAAGAGAUUUUUUUAUGUUCUCCGCAAUGGGUUAACAAGUUGGUAGUUUCCUGCAAACCUAGCCACAAAUAUAGUUACUUUUUGCAAUUGACUCGUUUGAAAGGCUCUGAUGGAGGCACCCAAGCUGCCGCCGCCGCCUAAGCGAGCGAAGCGAGGCAUGGGAGGAAAGAGGCGUAGCUGCGGCAAGCCGACAAUGGCGGGUUAGAAGAUUAUAACAGGUUUGGGUAUAGGGCUGCCCACAUCAAAACCAAAUGUUGAUGGGUCUUGAAGGGAAGACCCUCGGAUGAUCAAAUCCUACAAGGAUACAACGUAAAGACCUUGGGCGAUCAAAUUCAACAUGGAUUCAACCCCGCCACAGGGCCUAACUAGCACCACGUGGCGGGCCAGUAGCCCACCACAUGUCGUCCAGGCAGCAACCACUCUAUCCAAAUGUCGGUGCAGCAGACAUACACGAGCAAGACUCGACCAUCCAGAUCCGGCCAGGGAGAAAUCUCCAAGGCCUCCUGCCACCCAAACCCUAGAUCCCACCCAGCACUUGUCACCGAAGCCAAGCACGCCAUCACCUCAAGUUAUCGGCCACCCAACUCUGAGCCAACGGUUGCCCCGCGCGCCGCGACAUCGUGGCAGCUACGCCCGCUAAUCUAUAGUGCACACUACCGAGCCACAAUGGCUGCUCCGCCCCCUUUACCAACCUCAUCUUUCGUAGAGAAAGGCCGCCAUCCCGGUGCAACUUGCAAGCCGUCCACCCGCUGACAAACAGCUGCAACGAAAAAGGCCUGCGAGAAAAAUUGCGCCAACCCUUUCAAAUAAAAUAAAAUAUGCCAAGGCAAGUAGGGAAGAGCAAUCCCCAUUGCCAUCGUCACGAGGCCAAGAUUUGUUGAAGCUGACCAUCAGCAUCGACGAGGAGGGGGGAGACGCUAGAGUUCAGUAAUGAAAUGUGUAUUAUGUGAUGCAAAUAUCUUGAAACGAGUUUUUAUGCGUUGAAAGAUGUAAACAUCAUUGACACUUUGCGCUCCCAUUGAACGACACACUCGAUUGGAGCACAUUCCGCGUUGGCGGUGCUGGAGAAAGACGUGCGGAAGCUAAAAGAAGUCCUGCACACGGAGCCAGUCAAGUAUGACAUCUUCCAUAUGAUGGUGUCCAUAGUUUGGUUUUAGCAGCAUGAACUACGACAGUAGGCGAGUAGCAAUGUAGCACUCGCUCAUCAUCCACCUUCGUGUAAGAUCUUUGGUCUGAACUCUGAAGGAAGGAAGGAGCGGAUACAGUAUUGUAAACUGACCUGGAAUAGACUAGUCGAAGUGCAAAUUUAUUCUUGACUUGGCAAGAAAAGGGGGAGAAAAGAUAUGUGCUCCUGACAUUGUUGAACAUGGCAAUAGUACAUUGGCAUGUGUGUACGACGAAUGGACUGACACAUGUAGAAAGAUCCCUGACGUUAUUACUGAUCUUUCACUAAGAUUUUCAUAACUGAACCACGAUUUUACAGUCCAGUACUACAACUACUAACUGAGAUCUAGGUAAUGCUUGACAGUACAGUGUACUACAAUAUUACGAGGACAGUUCUUCAGCAAACAUCAAUCCGUCGUAGUCUAGGUGGUUAGGAUACUCGGCUCUCACCCGAGAGACCCGGGUUCAAGUCCCGGCGACGGAAAGUUUUUCCUGUUUUUUUUUUUCGUUUUUUUUCGCUUUUAUUUUGCUGUAUUUGGUGAAUCAUAUCCAUACAUUUACAAUACCAAAAACUGAUCUCCUCAUUUCCAUCCAUCCAGAUGACCAAAGAUGAAACAUGUAAAACCCACAUAUAUACGAUACAUUGGUACAAACUUUACAAUUCACUUGUAUUUUGUAGCAUCAUGACAAUACCAAAACAUUUCAUCUAAAGCCCCGCUUGGAAUAGGGUUACAUUUAUACACCUGUAUUACUUUUACAAAUGUAUAUUACCGACCACGUGUGAUUUUUAACCGAAAAUGAAAAAGACUGAUUGAGGUUUGUAUUUUUUAUAGGUGUAAAAGUGUGAGAAACGGUAAUCCAAUCAGGCCUUAAGUUAAGAAAGGAAAGACCACCGCCAAGAAAAAUAAAAGGGCUCUUGCUAGGCGUUUGAAGUGUUGAGAGCAGUCAGCCCUUUCCUGCCUGACAAAUGUACUUAAUUUUUCUGGUUCGGCAACUGCCCUUUUUACCCUGGCCCAAUGUGGCCAGUCCAUUAUUUUGCAUGUGCCAUUUUUUGGCAGGCUUUCCGUCUUGCCAUGCUUCUAGAGUAGAUGUUUGUGAUAAUUGGGUUCGGUUGAACGAUGUUGCUUAUUUCAUGGGUUCUAGAGUGUUGAAAGGUUAGUCAUCGCCGUUUUUUCGUGUGUUUCCCGUAACUCACGUUAUUUCCAUAAACUACCUCUCCAUCGUGAUAUUUCUCUCGAGACUCUUACCUCUCCUCGCGAUCUCCUUGCGUAUCCUGACCAAUUUCUUUCCAUAAUUUUGUUUUCUCUCUCGAUUCCCUGUAGGUGAGGCCGUGAGAGGAGGCGGUGUUGGUCCGCGGCCUUCAGUACGAGGGCACCGUCGUGGGCAGGUCCUAGAAUAUGCACGCCUUAGGCUACCGCUGUCUGACGGCGGUUGGGCUCCGCUUCAUCCGUAUGAAGGACAACGUUGGGAGACCCCUACAUCCUCUUGUAUGGGUGGAUGAGGGGUAGACUUACAUGGGCACAAGUCAGUUUACACGGCUUGUUACCUAAGUCGAUCCAUGACCAACCUUUUCAUCCAACCAUGGUAUCUAUAGAUCCAUGGCCCACCUCUUCUUCCGAUGGGCUUAAAGAUACCAUUCGCCAAAAAAACGAGGAAAAAAAACUCUGAAGGUCCAGAGAAUUUUGGACAGAUGGAGUGAUACGUAAUGGUUGAGGGACUAAAACGUAAAGCGGAAAAUAGAGAGUGGAGUGGGUGGGGGCACUGCCGCACUGGGCAACGGUAGGGGGGGUCGGGACUCGUGAAGGCCGCCGCAGUAGAAAUUCCCCAUUUCUUCCCGUCAAAUCCCUAGAACCCAAACCCCUCGAUCCAGAUCGCGGCAGAUCCGUGCAGCGGCAGCAGGCGGGGAGGAGGAGGAGGAGAUGGAGCAUCACCACCCGCCGCCGCUCCCGCAGCAGCACGGCGACCAGUACCGGCCGCUGGUGCUCUCCCCGCAGCCCGACCACGCCCACGCCCUUCUGUACCAGCCGCCGCAGCAGGCGACGCCGCCGCCGCCUCAGCAGCACCACCACCCCUCGCUCGCCUCCCAUUUCCACCUCCUCCACGUAAGUGGCGAUCCAAUUCUUCAGAAAGCCAGCAUGUUUUUCUUCUGGCACGGACCUUGUGUCGAGCCAGUUGGGAUCCGUUGCUGGCCAUUUUUUGAUGUAGCAUUAGUUAACCAUCCGUUUUUGGUUUGCCGUCUCAAGUUUAGUUUGAAGAUUGUAUCGUUACCGUGCAGAUUUGUUCUUUUGUCAAGCAUACUAGAAAUGAUCCGAGAAUUAUUCUUCAACAGUAGCAAUAAUAGGAUGGUAUGUCGUCCUUUUACAGUUACACAGAAGUGUGUUCUUGUUCCUCUUAAAACAAAUAUGCAUGCCGUUGAUUCUGUAUCAUUAGUCGAUUCAUGGCAUGAGUUUACGGUUUCCUUAAACGUACCUCGUGUAUGGAAAGCCAACCGGCAUCGAGUCGGAAACAUAUUUAAGCAAGCACUGCUAUGGAUACAAGUUUUCUUGGCACAUUUAACUGGAAAAAUAUUUAGUUGUAUGAUAUGAUUGCAAAAUGACACUGCAAACAGAAGCAAUCCUCUGUACCAAGUACCUACUGCAAAUGUUUGUUUGUCUGAACGGUGAACACCAAAUGGACCUGCGGCAACCCCUGCUAAGUCGUGAUCCUGGUAGCAAUAUCUGAUCGUGGAUCACCUGAGAUCCCAUUUUCCAGACACUAAUUUGGGAAAUGGUGAAACUAAAUCAUUUAUUCGACAAAAUAAAGCAACCUACAGACGUAUGUGGGGUGGGGAUGCUUACUACUUGGCUAUGCUGUCACGGCUGCAGUAUGGCCAUGUCCGCUGCAGCAACAUGGUUUGUGUGUUACCAUUCCAGGAAUCACUUAUAAAGCAUCUAGCUUGGAACAAAUUGGAAUAUAGUUAAUUUCUGUUUAAAUAGAAGGUCUUGAUACUGUCAAUGUCAUAUCAAGGCAGAUUUGCGAUUGGCCAACCAUAGGUGCUGGCAGUGUGAGAGUAGAGGGACUAUGUUGAAGAAUAUAACUGUGGGGCUGUAACGAUGGAAUAGAAAAGGCAAUGCUUAGGUUAACCAGGGGAAACACAAUUUUGAAGCUAAGCCUAUUAAAUGAGAAUAUCAUGGUGUCAUUAUAGAACUUUGUUAAGCCGGUGAUAACAUUUUGCGACUAUCACAUUUUGUAGUUGCAUCAAGAAAUGAGGCUUGCUUUCUUUGCAUUAUCGUUUGACAGCCAAGGUUUUUUUUGUGCCUUCCUUUUUUUUACCGGGGCCCACCGGUAAAACCAAUUCCCAAAAAUACCAGAAAUCUCAGUGUUUAACCCCCUGAAAAAUUAUAAGGAAAUUUGAAUUAUUAUUUUUUAGUAAUGGAGUAAAUACAUUUAUACCCUAUAUAAAACUGAAACAAAGCGGUGGUGAGAUGGUCGGCACGGAACCCGCUUAAGCCGAGCUCUUGAGUUCGAUUCCUCGGAGCUGCUUUUCAGUUUUGCCUUCUUUUCCCUCCCUCGGUUGGGCCCUCAUUGCAUUGAUAGUUAAAAAACCUGGCAAAAAAUCGGAGGCGUGGCAAUUUGGCCCCGUGACCACCAUGGACACCCGCGGCUUGCACGAUACUGCAUAUCACUCUAACACUCGCCUGAUUAUGUUAAUAUUGGCAUCCUUAGUAAUACUGGUUCCAUUUUUUUAAGUUCAAAUUUAAAUUUGUCCGAAUUUUUCCGGCCGGUAACUGUGUUUCUGGAGGGGGUUACCGAAAACCGGGCCGAGAGAAAAAGCCUUGUUUUAAACUAGCACAUCUUAGCAAUAAAGCUAACCAUCAUUUUCCUAUCUUUGUUAAAGUACUAAGCAGUAUGGGUGAUGUUUUUUUUUCUUGUUACAUCAGUUGGUGACAAGAUUAGGUGAUGCGAUUGCAACAGGCACAAGGGAUCAAGCUUUUGAUGCAUUGGUAAGAAUUUCGUAUAAUCUCUUAUUUUCUUUUGUUGAAGAAAUAAUGAUGGGAUAAUGGUAGUAUGGUAGAUGACUGCUUCUGGUCUAAGAAAAGUUACAUAUUAAGUUCGUUUAAUAUGAAAAAGUAAUACAAUAAAAUUAAACUAUUUAACUCCAGAGAUUCGAGGAUGUUUUGGUCUCAUACUUAUCUGUGCCAAGCUAAUAAACUAUACUAUCUUCGUAUUGAAUUGUCUUUUAUAGAAUUUUGAAGCCUGAGAUAUGAUUACUCAGAGCAUGGUAGUCUAGUAACCUGGGUUGUUUUAUUUGUUUAUGCAGGUUGAAGAAUUGACCAGUCAAUUCGCCAGGAGCCAACAGUUAUUGAACUCCAUUUCAGGAACACUAAGCUCGAAAUCUGUUGUAAGUUUCUACACAUGACUUCAUAUGUAGUAGCUUUUCUUAUAAUUAUAACAAUAAUUUAGUGUGAUGAUAGAAAUACAAUGUUGUUUCAAGUUUCAACUAGGUGGCAUGUUACUUUUGUCUAAUCUAGUCAGGCUUAACUGCAGGGGUCACAUGCUAGACAGGUUAGUUUGGUUGCACAUAUAAUAUGCGAUAUAUGAAUAUUGGGGCCCAUUUGCAAAAUUACCAAAAUGCACCAAUAGUUCUAAAAGUGUUAAGCCUGGUAGCUUGAAAGUUGAAACACUAGCAGAUUGGUUGAGCAGCUUAGUCGUACCCUGGUCUUUUCUUUCUCUCCUGAAAGGACCAGUAACCUGAUAUUUUAAGCCAAAUACUGUAUUUGUUAUAAAAUGAAGCUAUUUCAAGUUUAGAGCUCACUCACAUCAAAAUAGAUGCCCUUUUAGAGUUGGGCACAGGAUUUAAGAGUGUGUGAAAUGUUGAUGUUGGCUAUCUCUUUCCCAUCCCAAGGGCAUUAAAUUACCUCUUUUUUCCUACGCAAAGCAAAGCAUGCAAAUGCAACGACAGGAGGAAUUAGUUAGCUAUUUUCUUGAUGACAUUGACGAAGGGCAAAGUAGGAACACGGCUAAAACUAAAUUGUAAGGGUAAAAGAAUGAAAAAAAUUGAAGAGGCUGAACGGACAUCCAUUUGAUAUGGAGUGAGUAUUAUUUUAGUUGCAUUAAUGUACUCUAGACAUCUAGUCACAGUUACGAGAGUAACUUGCACACUAGGCGAUCUGCUAUUUUUGUUUUCUUUGAAGUAUAAUCUGCCAAUAUUAAAUUGUUAAUAUUUGGUGGAUAUUCAAUAACUACGGAGGUAAUAUCCAUAUUUGUGAUAAUUGACUCUCAUUGACAAUGCACACCUAGUUCGAAAAAUGUUCCCAAGAAGUUAAUAGGUUUCCAUUAUAAAUUUGGGGAUUUCUACAUAACUUCCUGCCUGGUUAUGGAUUUAGCGACAGCUCUAUCUAGGACUUUUUGGCUGGUUUAUCUUUGUAUCAGCUAAUAACUUUAAGGAGAAAUAUUCAGUUCUCAUUAUUCUGACCAUUGUUAUCUUGCUAAUGACGUGUGUAAAUCUAGGUGCUUUUGCGGUGUGAAAGAUGACAUAAUUCUUAUGGGUCUACACUCUACACCAGUGAAUCCUGUCCAAGCACUUAGAGUAGUGACCAGCCAGUCACUUAAAAGUACUGACCAGCUAAUGCCACUGAUAGUUCCAAUCCUAAGCCUCGAUUCUCACGGAAAGUGUUUCCUUUUGUUGCCAACAGACGGUUGAAGGACAAAUGCAAAGUUUGGAAGAAACACGACAGCUGCUUGAUCAAAGAAAGUAAGUGCUCAGUAAGCGCUCCAUUUAUCGACGCAACGUGCCAACAAUUUUUGUGAUCCAGCAGAGUUUUAUGCUAACCAUUGCCAUGUUCACCAGGGAUUUGAUGGCAAAAUACAAGACCUCAGUGGAAGACCUCCUUAAGGGUGAUCCAACAAGAUAGAAACGAUCUGUCAGCCGGACCCUUCGAACAUUGAUUAUGAUGGAGCUCGUUGCCACCACCGCCUGAAAUAAAAUUCCCAAUGGACGUGUCUUAUCAUGUAAAAAUGCUUGGAGUAGUCCAUGCAGAAGGGACAUGUAAUUUCGAAGUGGUGGUUACAAUGCUGCACUUGCGCGUUGGGUGCGUGUAUUCUGAGUUUUAGGCCAUGGUCCAUUUCCAUAAUCGCAUUACGCUGAAAUGGGCGAUGUGAACUUGUUUGAUGUCUAUCGGCAUGACAAUAAUGUGAGAACCCAAGAUCAGUUAGAUAACAAUCUUUGCUCAAAAAAGUUUGGCAUAAUAAUUUGGUGACAAGUCAUCGACAAUCGCAGAGGGGCAACUCUAGAAGGUUCCCCCAAACAGCCNNNNNNNNNNNNNNNNNNNNNNNNNNNNNNNNNNNNNNNNNNNNNNNNNNNNNNNNNNNNNNNNNNNNNNNNNNNNNNNNNNNNNNNNNNNNNNNNNNNNNGUUGAUAGGGCUACGACAAAAACUGGAUGCACUUCGUGUACAAAACGGACAAUCUCCCUCGAAGUAUCAGGGUUUCGAACGACAACUCAUCUCUUAUAAAGGGAUUUCAUUUUUUUUGAACUUAUUUGAACUCCAUACUUUUUGUGUGUUCAAAAUGCACCAUUCAAAGGCACAUCACAAAAUUUCAACAAUUUCUGACUUGAUUUGGUAUAUUUCGUGCAUUUACUUAUUUUUUUGAGCUAGUUGACCCUGAAAUUGAAAAGCACUACAAAUGAACUCUGAAAAUGUUGAAAGUUGGCAUGCUAUCAUCAUUUCACCCACAUAGCAUGUGUUAAAAAGUUGAGAGGAAUACGACAAAAACUGGAUGCACUUCGUGUACAAAACGGACAAUCUCUCUCGAAGUAUCAGGGUUUCGAACGAGAACUCAUCUCUUACAAAGGGAUUUCAAUUUUUUGAACUUAUUGGAACUCCAUACUUUUUGUGUGUUCAAAAUGCACCAUUCAAAGGCACAUCACAAAAUUUCAACAAUUUCUGACUUCAUUUGGUAUUCUUCGUGCAUUUACCUUUUUUGAGCUAGUUGACCUUGAAAUUGAAAAGCACUACAUAUGAACUCUGAAAAUGUUGAAAGUUGGCAUGCUAUCAUAAUUUCACCCACAUAGCAUGUGUUAAAAAGUUGAGAGGGCUACGGCAAAAACUAGAUGCACUUCGUGAACAAAACGGACAAUCUCUCUCGAGGUAUUAGGGUUUCGAACGAGAACUCAUCUCGUAAAAAGGGAUUUNNNNNNNNNNNNNNNNNNNNNNNNNNNNNNNNNNNNNNNNNNNNNNNNNNNNNNNNNNNNNNNNNNNNNNNNNNNNNNNNNNNNNNNNNNNNNNNNNNNNCAGGAGUUUCUUUAGUCCCGGUUGGUCACACCAACCGGGAAAACAUGACAUCCACGCGUCAGCAUGUGCCGAGAGCGUGGGGUUUUUUUUAUGGGAGGGGGUGUUGGAGGGUUAAUUUAGUGGUUUCACAUUGUGUUAGCUAGCUAAUAGAGAGAAGUGUCCUCUCUUUCUUCGUGCUUGGUCGACGCUAGCUACUAUACAUAUAGAGAGAACAUGAUGCUAACUAAUAAGAAAAUGAAGGAAACCAUUUAGAAUACUUAACAUCUUUUACAAUACCUAACGUCAUCUACCUAAGAUCCAAUCACAAAUAGUCCACAUGGUAUUCUCCGUCACUAGAUAUGACGUGGUCAAGAAGGAAUCCUGUCAAUUCCUCUUUAAUUGCUCGUAUGCCAUCAUCUGAUAGGGCUUUAUCCCGCUUCUUCCAGAUCUAAUUUAAAGAAGGGGGUCAAUACAUGCAUAUAUAUGAAUAAAACUCAACACAAUUGAUGCUAAUAUAUAAAAUAAAAUUGUGAAUAUUAUUUACGUAUUUCAAAUUGUUCGUGAGAGAUGCCCCGUCCAGAGGUCGAGAGGCGAAUGAACUCGCAUACGUAGAAUGCACAUUUUUCAGUCCCACCUACCUGGUACAAGCACUUUACGAGAAUAUAUAGAGUUUAAUCAAACUGAUAAGCAAGUAUGGUAAUGAUAUAUUGAUGAAAAUCUGAAUCAAUUAGAGAUGCGCGGAACUAGCUAGCUAGUACUACUUACUGGGGGUGCGUAAAUUGUAACUCUUUGGGUAUACCGCGAACCUUAUUGGUGAACUUCUUCCGAAUCCUGCGAGGCAAAGAAAAUGAUUACUUGAUAUCAGAAAAUUAACGAAAGUUGCAUGCCGGUAUGGUCCCGGUAUUGAGUGAACUUACUUCUUGAGCAUUGAAGUCAUGUCCGCAUAAUCCUCGGGAUCUCUACGUCUCGACUCUCGAGUCUAAGACACGUACUUUUCCCGCGUCAAGCUUAAUGGUUAGCAGAAUCCAGUGGUAACUGUACACACAUAUAUAACUCAUCAAUUACAUUUACUAAUUAACCUCGAGUAAGCGAAACCGAGUAUACAGAGAAGACAUCAACACUCACUUGAAGUUAUAAGAAAAAAGUAUUUCCCUUUUGUUUUGAUUUACAAGCAACGAAUUUAGGAACUUAACCUCGAUCUCUUUGGUUUCAUUUCGUAUCGACAAUACAUUUACCGAUUCUGGGCUAAUGAACCCAAUGUCGAAGAUUCCUGCUUUUUUUAAUUCGACGAUCUUCAAUCUGCAUAAUAUGUAUAGUGAGGAUAAUUAUAGAUACAUGCAAUGAACGAGCUGAGCUAGAGACUUAACUAUAGAAGUAAUACUUACAAACAGUACGAAGUCAUGAGUUGUUUGUCGAGGGCCAGGUCAUUGUAUAACUGAAGUAACUCCUCAAAUUCAACAAGCACCACUGAAGCUCCAAUGAAUUUGUGAUCUUUGUUCACUCUCAUAUACACAACCGUUUUCUCCCUGAAGAUGUUCAUGUACCACUCAUGCAAUUCGUGCAUCCUCGGUGUUAGAGAAGGAUGACCAGGUUUGACGAGAGGCUCCCCGAGCACGAAUUUAUAUUGUUCUUCAUUUAUUACCUCAGCCAUCUUAAAAAAUAUUGAAUCGCUCACGUCAUCACCAGGAUUGGUACCGGGCAGCAACCCCGAAUCAUUAGCGACGAUGAUAUUGCUAGACACUUUGAGCGGGGGCACGAUUGCUUCUUCUGUUCGCCGAGCUGGGGAAUUGUUUUCCCACUUCUUCGUUUUGCUAACAUUGCGUCACUGCUAGCCUCCAGAGCGGCGGCGGAGUGUGUCUUCCGCUUGAGAGAAGGAGGAGGAGGAGGCAUCUUUCUUACUUGUGUAAUUUUUGGCGAAGCGGUGACAAAGUAUGUCUUCCGCCGUUGCGGAGGAGGUAGACUGCUCGGACGCUCCUGAGGAGGAGCCGGAGGAGGAGGACUGCUGUGACGCGCUGGAGGAGGAGCCGAAGAAGGAGGCGGAGUGCUCCGGCGCGCCGGAGGAGGAGCCGAAGAAGGAGGCGGACUGCUCCGACGCGUUGGAGGAGGAGCUGAAGAAGGAGGCGGAGUGCUCCAACGCGCUGGAGGAUCAGGAGCCGUAGGAGGAUGACUGCUUCGACGCGCUGGAGGAGGAGCCGAAGAAGGAGGCGGAGUGCUCCGACACGCCGGAGGAGGAGCCGAAGAUGGAGGCGGACUGCUCCGACGGGCCGGAGGAGGAGUCGAAGAAGGAGGCGGAGUGCCCUCACACGCCGGAGACGAAGAAGAAGGCGGAGUGCCCUCACGCGUCGGAGUAGCCGGAGUGCCCUGAUCAUUUGCCGGAGGAGGAUGAGGAGUGCCCUGAUCAGUCAUCGGAGGAGGAUGAGGAGUGCCCAGAUCACACGCCGGAGGAGGAGGAGGAGGCGUCCAGUUUGGAAGAUUGAUGUACUCCUUCGGCCAUAGACAUGAACUCCUCAAAACAUGAACCAGCUUAUUAUUCUAAUCUUCACCUGUAGGGUGGUCAAGCUCGAGCUGCUCAAAAUCCUUAUUUACUUCAUCCACCAUCACAAGAGCAUAAUCACGUGGACUCGGACGACGGUGAAAAGUUAUGUUGGAUUGAGGAUGUGCAACAAUGCCGAUAGCAGCCUUGAAAGUGAGGUUCCGACAUUUCGUCAAAAGCUCGCAAGGUUGAGAAUCCGUGAUAGUAUCCACGGGGUAGCUAGGAGCCGUGAAGUCAGGCUGAACGAGCUCCGUGGAAGCCACGCUGCUUCUCCGCUGAGAUGGCGGAGUAAAUUCUGGGGUAGUUUCGUGCCGCUGAGAUGGUUGGUCGACAGCUUGCUGGCUGUGUCGUUCCUCUAGAAUUUAUAGUCUUGCAUUGAUCUUCUUCAUGUCGCUCAGCUCCGCUUUCCUCUUUCUCUCGCGGCUCCUGUAACCGGUUGCACCGGGAAACCCAACCUUCCACGGAACGUAGCCUGGUGUGCCUCAUGUUCGUCCAGGGUGCUCAACAUUCCCUAGGUCCUCGGUCUUCGUCCUUCUCUCUUUCGGGAAAGAACGCCCCUUCCUGCACUGCGGUGAUACACUGCUGAAGCUUGUUGAUGGGUGUUGCAAGUUGCUCGCCCGUCCAACAACACUCGCCUGUAUCAGGGUCCAAAGUUCCCCCAACUCUGAAGAACCAAUUCCUUGAACGGUCGGGCCAGUUCCAUGUCUGUGGUUGGACCCCUUUAGCAAUCAGGUUUUUCUCAUCUUUGUCCCACAACGGACGGCCUUUGAGGUAGCCACCUGACCCCGUGUGAUGGUGAUACUGCUUCUUUGCAGCACUGUUCGUGUUUCUCUCUGACAUUUCCUUACUCUUGUCCGAUGACUUGUAGGCCACAAAUGCGGGCCAUUGAUCUCUAAUCUUCGCAAAUCGGCCGACGAAUUCUGGAGUCUUCCCUUUGCCGACAUACUUUAAUUUCAACUCUUUCUUCCACCUCCUGAAUAGUUUUGCCAUCUUCUUAAGUGCACACACCUUGACCAAUGGCUCUAUAACUGGCUUAUUAGGAUCCUCCUUUGGCGGUAAGGUGAAAUUUUCCUUCAACGCGGUCCAAAGAUCAUCUUUCAGCCUAUCGGUGACAUAAUCACCGUUAGGUACGUUGUCGCCCUUAGGCUUAUUCCAUUGCUUGAUGCUGAUCGGGAUGUUGUCCCUGACAAUAGCUCCGCACUGAGUAGAAAAUGCGUCCCUGGUCCGCUUGGGUUCAAUCGGUUGGCCAUCGUCCGAUAGUUCUGUGAUCGUGAACUUUUGACCCUUGCCCAACCUUUUCCUCGGGCCUCGUCUCGUUACCGAAGUUUGGCUCGAUCUGGACUUUUCAAUAGCUCCCUCCUCCAUUCGGUCACUGGAGCCGUCAUCAUGGUCUCCAUACUCCGGGAUUCGGUAGUCACCGAAGCCAUCAUGAUAAUGUCCUUCCUCCGGGAUUUGGUAGUCACCGAGUUCGCUGAGCAAAAGUCGAUACUACCGUCGUCGUGGAUUAUAUCCCCCAAAAUUUCUUCUUUUUCCAUGUCUCUUGAAAUAUCCAUUGUUUCUGCAAAUAUUUCAAAGUGGAGGAAGCCCUUUAUACAUAAUCCAAAAUAUUAACAUAAAAACUUAAUUUAUAACUUAAUCUAAAUCUAAAUAUUUUUUUAGAAUAAUUUUUAUAACUUUAUUUUCUAUUGAAAUUGAAUCUAGUCUAAAUAUUUUUAUAAUUUUUAUAACUUGUAUCACAUUUGGGAGUUCAAAAAUGUACCCAACAUAUUCUAAUAUGACUGUCAUACACACACAUGGAUUCACAAUUAGACUACGUCUUCGAACACACAUGGAUUCGCAAAUAGUGAGAUGGAGAGAUCGAUGGACGUGCUACUGGUGCGUCCACGGGCGACGACGGUGGGCUUCGGAACGAUGACGGGUGACGGGCGACGACGGCGGCGGCGAUGGGCUCGAGGGCGACGACGGCGACGACGACGACGACGACGAUGGGCUCAGGGGCGACGGCAACGACGAGCGGCGACGGGCGACGGCGACGACGUGCGGCGACGGACGACGAAGACGAAGGCGAUGGGCUCGGGGACAACGGCGACGACGACGACGACGACGGGCUCGGGAUCGAUGGCGACGGUGAUGGGCUCAGGGUGAUGAUGGGCUCAUGAGCAACGGCGAUGGUGAUGCGGGCUUGUGGAGAAGGCGUGGGCCGGCGGGGGCGGGCUCGGGUGCGACGGCGAUGAAGAGAGAACGAGGGGAAUGGAAGUUGGUGGAAAUUUCCACAACUCCCACAAUAUACGAACACCUUUGUUCCAGUUGGUGGCCCAAACCGGGACCAAAGCACACCUUUAGUCCCGGGUUGUUACACCAACCGGGACUAAAGGUCAAUUUCGACAACCCCGCACUAUAUGCAAAACUUUUCGUUUCGGUUUGUGACACCAACCGGGACCAAAGCCACACUUUCGCUGGCCCAAAAGGGCGGGAAGAAGAUUACUUUCGUACCGGUUGGUGGCUAUAACUGGGACAAAAGGUUCGUCGGCCCAUUUGAUAUUUUUCAUACAUUUACUGAUUUUUGCUUUGAGCUAAAUGACCCUUAAAUUGAAAAGCACUACAAAUGAACUCUGAAAAUGUUCAAAGUUGGCAUGGUAUAAUCAUUUCACGCACAUAGCAUGUGCUAAAAAGUUGAGAGGAUUGCCGCAAAAACUGGAUGCACAUCGUGUACAAAACAGACAAACUCUUUCGAAGUAUGGGGGUUUCAUACGAGAACUCAUUUGUUAUAAAGGGGUUUCAUUUUUUAACUUAUUUGAACUCAAGACUUUUUGUGUGUUCAAAAUGCACCGUUCAAAGAUACAUCAUCAAUUUUCAAGUAUUUCUGACUUCAUUUGGUAUUUUUCAUGCAUUUACUGAUUUUUUAAGCUAAAUGACCCUUAAAUUGAAAAGCACUACAAAUGAACUCUGAAAAUGUUGAAAGUUGGCAUGGUAUAAUCAUUUCACCCACAUAGCAUGUGAMUAAAAAAUUGAGAGGGUUGCGGACAAAAACUUGAUGCACUUCGUGUACAAAACGGACAAUCUCUUUCAAAGUAUCAGGGUUUCAUACGAGAACUCGUCUGUUACAAAAGGGGGUUCAUUUUAUUGUAACUUAUUUGAACUCAAGACUUUUUGUGUUCAAAAUGCACCAUUCAAAGACACAUCAUCAAUUUUCAACUAUUUCUGACUUCAUUUGGUAUUUUUCAUGCAUUUACUGAGUUUUUAAGCUAGAUGACCCUUAAAUUGAAAAGCACUACAAAUGAACUCUGAAAAUGUUGAAAGUUGGCAUUGGUAUCAUUAUUUCACCCACAUAGCAUGUGCUAAAAAAUUGAGAGGGUUGCGGCAAAAACUGGAUACACUUCAUGUACAAAAGAGACAAUUUCUUUCGAAAUAUCAGGGUUUCAUACGACAACUCAUCUAUUACAGAGGGGUUGUCWWUUUUUUANNNNNNNNNNNNNNNNNNNNNNNNNNNNNNNNNNNNNNNNNNNNNNNNNNNNNNNNNNNNNNNNNNNNNNNNNNNNNNNNNNNNNNNNNNNNNNNNNNNNUAUAUAAACUGAGCAAUAAAUAAACCUUGCUAGGCCAGGUCGGGAAGUUAGAUGGACUGGUCAGGUGUAUAUAAACAUGUACGUGGUGUAUAUAAACCGAGCAAAAAAUAAACCUUGCUCAGAUUGUCUCCAGUCAAAAAAUUAUUUUGAACCAAUAACCAGACAGGCACCAAGUAUGCCAAACUUAGCUCCUUUGAUUUGAUCCAUCCAAUAUGCCGUUGUUGUGCUCACCCAGAAACGUUUCGGAAUCUAUUCAACAUGGAUUCUCAGUCAAAUUAACCAGAAUUAGGACCCCCGAAAGCAAAUCAAAUCAAAAGCUCAUCUGGCUGGAGAGGGUACGUUCAUAGGAUAUCCAUGCAGAACCCGUCACCCUUGGCGCUCUGCGCGGCUCUCCGCCACCGCCGAAAGACGGAUGAUGAUCGUCGUCCGCCCGACGCCGCAGCGGCUAUACCUACCUGCGCCGCGUGGGCACGUCGGUCGAUCUCCGGCCGGAAUCCCAACCCAAUCUUUCCGUCCGCAGCAUCCAUCUGCCGGGUCUUGCUUUUUCAAACCGGAUAUUUUGACCACGGCAUCUAUCUCAUCAUCUCUUUUUUUUUUCUUCUGCAAAUAGAGAGCAUGUUGAGGCCAUUCUGGUGUCUAAUAUAUGUUCUUUCUUCUCUCUCUGAGCGUGCUAUAGCUAGUAGUAGUAGCUGGUAUCCUCAAGACCUGAACCAUGAAUAUGCGAGUAUCCUGAGCAGUGAAGGAAUUUACUAGCUUAGCUGGGCCCGUAGCCGCUGGCGACGCUAUCAGGAAUCGAAUGCCAUCCGUUUUGCAGCUACUUAAAUAGCCGUCCGUUUCUUUACAGCCCAACCAACCAACCAAAAGCACAACCGUCUACUGUUUGCCGCGUCUCUGCACUUGCUCUCACUGGUCACUUGCCGACCAUGGACAACUCUUCAGAUGCUCACAGGUAUGGUGCCCACUGCUCCAUCUUCAUUGUUUUCUCUUUGUACGUGACUACGUGUGCAUGCCACAUUGCACACCAUAUAUACGUUUUCUUCUUGCUGACGAGGAGUUGUUGGGUGUGCAGCUGUCACCGGUGCGCGGCGUGCUACCGUCAGUUCAACCGGAUGGAGCACCUGGUGGAGCACAUGCGAUCGUCGCACCACUCCCGCCACGAGCCCCGCUGCGGCGUCUGCGGCAAGCACUGCCGCUCCCUCGACGCGCUCCGCGACCACCUCGGCUUCGGCGCCUCGCUGCCAUCCAAGCCCGCCUGCGCCACCGCCUUCGCCGCCCGCGGCUGCCCGCUCUGCCUCGCCGUCUUCCCGACCUCCGCCGCCCUCCGCGCCCACUACGCCGCAUGCAAGCUCACCGGCCGCCCCCCACCCUUCUUCGGUGCAGAGCCUGACCCGAAGCAUGUCGGAGGGUGGGGGCGUGCGAGGCGGCCGCGGAGGCGCGGUGGCGCUGGGGUGCAAGAUGGUGGGCGGCGGGAGCGACGGCACGCUGGACGUGUGCGCGCGCGUCUGCGUCGUCGACGAGCACGAGGCCGUCCUCUACGAGAGCUUCGUGAAGCCCCUCAUCCCGGUGACGCACUACCGGUACGAGACCACCGGCAUCCGCCCCGAGCACCUCCGCGACGCGCCCACGGUGAAGCAGACCAUGGCGCGGGUGCAGGACAUCCUCCUCAACGGCGACCGGUCCUACUCCUACUCCUCCUCCUCCCGCGGCGCCGCCCGGCUCCUCGUCGGCCACGGGCUGGAGCACGACCUCGACGCGCUCGGCAUGGACUGCCCGGCGCACUUCAAGCGGGACACGGCCACGUACCCGCCGCUGAUGAAGACCAGCGCCAGGAUCAUGAGCAACUCGCUGCGGUAUCUCACACGGAGCUGCCUGGGGUAUGACAUACAGACCGGCGGCCACCAUCACCCCUACGACGACUGCGUGGCCGCCAUGAGGCUCUACAAGAGGAUGCGCGCCAUGAGGCACCUGCACCUGCACGGCCGGCCCAAGGACGGUCACGAUGAUGAGUCCACGGCCAAGGCCUUCCCGGCGUGGAGGCAGCGAGAGCUGGAGCGCAUGUCGCCGGAGGAGCUCCUCGGGAUGUCCAAGCCCGACUACCAGUGUUGGUGCCUCGACGAUGACCGGCAAUAAUACUGUCGAGAGCCGGAAUUCGAAUCUUGGUUGGCGGUUUAAUUUACUUGGUCGUGACGAUGGAAAGAUACGAGAAAAUAAAAUCCACGUACCUCGGAUGGAUAGCUGCCGUACCUAGCGACGACGUGGUGGUCGAAUAAAUCACAGUUUUGUUUCGUUGGAACUAAGAACCACGUCGUUUUUCAUUG
RNAcentral lists this long non-coding RNA (28220 nucleotides) under Hordeum vulgare. RNAcentral describes it as "long non-coding RNA (HVUL_LNC006343)". Lineage: Eukaryota; Viridiplantae; Streptophyta; Magnoliopsida; Poales; Poaceae. The record is from RNAcentral.